UGUCAUGUUGGGAGGCUAGGUGCCUUUAGCUCUUUAGUAAAGGUUUGCCUACAGGAACGUGAUGCCGUGUUCCGCUGAAAAGCUGCAUUUCGGACAAGGAACGCGGCUCACUGUACUAGGAGUUGACCAAGAUGUCAGCCCCCCUCAAGUGACCGUUUUUGCCCCGCCCAAGCAGGAGGUUGACGAAAAGGAGAAAGCCACCAUUGUGUGUUUAGUCACCAAUUUCUUCCCAGAUCAUGUCGCCCUGAGCUGGACCGUGAAUAACGAGAAGAGAACUGCUGGGGUAAAGACAGAGGACCCAGUAUAUGACAAAACCACGAAGCGCUAUUCAAUGACCAGCCGUUUAAGAAUCACCAAGGAAGAGUGGCAGAAUGCAGAUAAUAAGUUCGUGUGCAGAGUCAGUUUCCACGGUACAGAAGGAUCCACAGACUAUGAGGAUGACAUAAAUGGUGCAGAUUGUGGUGGCGGCAGCGAGGCUGCAAGAGAGUCGUAUCUCACGGAAGCCUAUCUUGGGGAACUGGUGUAUAUUCUUCUCAUUCUCAAAAGCACCUUGUAUGGAGCCUUUGUGAUGGGAUUAAAACUAAGAAAAAAGUUGGCACCAUAGGCACGUUUUACCCGGGGGGCAUCUAUCCUGAGCUGAGUGAACUCCAUGAAGACAGAAGGGAAGAUGGAUACUCUCAACCUCGGAAAUCCAAAGUAGCAUUUUCUUAAAACAAAAACAGUCGCUUAGGGUCAGUCAGUAAAUAAUCUCUCUUUGGUUCUCUUAAAUGCUUUAUUAUUUUGCAUUGGAAACAUUUAUAAAAAGCUUUUUUUGGGGGGGGGGAGAAGUCCUUUACCUUGGACUGAGGAGGACACACAAAGGCAGGGGACAGUUGGUGGGGGUGUCCCUGUAGGGUAGAAAAGAUCUCCCAGGGUGAGAGGCUGGGAGAAAAGCAAGCUCCCAGGUGGAAGAUGGGAAGGUCUACCUCUCUGCAUAGGGAUAAAUGACAGUAUAUACAUGAUAUAAAUAUGGAAAACGGCCAUAUAAGUAUUUCCCCCCUCUUACUUUUUAUCUUUUGGCUUUUUUAAUAUUCUUGUUCUAUAAGCUAGCUUGAUUCUUAUUGUAUUUUAUGCCAAAACUUUUCAAUAAAAACACUUUAAAAAUAUUAAAUGCUUUAUUUUAGUAAGGCCACAGCACUUUCCCCCCAGAGUUCCUUGUCUUUCAUGCCACUUUUAACUAUGUUUACUAGGAAAUACAUAUGCUUAGACUUCCAACCUUAAAGUACUAUUGAUUUUCAAGGAGCCUUGUGCAUCACUCUUGUGCAGAGAUCGAGCCGCAGCCAACAUGAUACGUUUUUUAGUAAAGUCGCCGAAUCCUU
This is a non-coding RNA of Podarcis muralis (Common wall lizard), 1358 nucleotides long. The record is from the annotation of a RefSeq genome assembly. NCBI's taxonomy places the organism in Eukaryota, Metazoa, Chordata, Lepidosauria, Squamata, Lacertidae.